AUGCAGUCGAACGGUGAUAGCAAUAUCAUAGUGGCGCACGGGUGCGUAACACGUAUGCAACCUACCUUAUACUGAGGGAUAGCCUUUCGAAAGGGGGAUUAAUACCUCAUAACACAUUGAACUGGCAUCAGUUUAUUGUUAAAGAUUUAUUGGUAUAAGAUGGGCAUGCGUCCAAUUAGUUAGUUGGCGAGGUAACGGCUCACCAAGACGAUGAUUGGUAGGGGAACUGAGAGGUUAAUCCCCCACACUGGCACUGAGAUACGGGCCAGACUCCCACGGGAGGCAGCAGUAGGGAAUAUUGGGCAAUGGAGGCAACUCUGACCCAGCCAUGCCGCGUGCAGGAAGAAGGCGUUAUGCGUUGUAAACUGCUUUUAUAUAGGAAGAAAUAGACCUUGCGAGGUAAGUUGACGGUACUAUAUGAAUAAGCACCGGCUAACUCCGUGCCAGCAGCCGCGGUAAUACGGAGGGUGCAAGCGUUGUCCGGAUUUAUUGGGUUUAAAGGGUGCGUAGGCGGUUUAUUAAGUCAGUGGUGAAAGACGGUCGCUCAACGAUUGCAGUGCCAUUGAUACUGGUAGACUUGAGUGGGAUUGAGGUAGCUGGAAUGGAUAGUGUAGCGGUGAAAUGCAUAGAUAUUAUCCAGAACACCAAUUGCGUAGGCAAGUUACUAAGUCUCAACUGACGCUGA
Molecule: ribosomal RNA, 685 nt
Filed under: uncultured bacterium
Lineage: Bacteria
Description: bacterial SSU rRNA
Rfam family: Bacterial small subunit ribosomal RNA
Source: RNAcentral